RNAcentral lists this ribosomal RNA (506 nucleotides) under uncultured Glomeromycotina. RNAcentral describes it as "partial small subunit ribosomal RNA". It matches the Rfam family "Eukaryotic small subunit ribosomal RNA", at positions 591 to 1092 of the family's 1831-position model. Lineage: Eukaryota; Fungi; Glomeromycota. The record is from RNAcentral.
CCAAUAGCGUAUAUUAAAGUUGUUGCAGUUAAAAAGCUCGUAGUUGAAUUUCGGGAUUGACACAUCGGUCGUGCCUUAAGGGGUAUGAACUGGUGUAGUCAAUUUCUCACCUUCUGGAGAACCACGAUGCCCUUAAUUGGGUGUCGCGGGGAACCAGGACCUUUACUUUGAAAAAAUUAGAGUGUUUAAAGCAGGCAUUGUGCUUGAAUACAUUAGCAUGGAAUAAUAAAAUAGGACGGCAUGAUUCUAUUUUGUUGGUUUCUAGGAUCACCGUAAUGAUUAAUAGGGAUAGUUGGGGGCAUUAGUAUUCAAUUGUCAGAGGUGAAAUUCUUGGAUUUAUUGAAGACUAACUACUGCGAAAGCAUUUGCCAAGGAUGUUUUCAUUAAUCAAGAACGAAAGUUAGGGGAUCGAAGACGAUCAGAUACCGUCGUAGUCUUAACCAUAAACUAUGCCGACUAGGAAUCAGACGAUGUUAAUUUUUUAAUGACUCGUUUGGCACCUUACG